AUUCAAAUUUCCCAUAUGUCAAAUAUUUCCAUCCAAAUGCAAGGUGACAAAACUUUCUAUUUUGAUUCUCACAUUUUCAUAGUACAAUAACGAUAAGAUUUGGUCCCUCUAUUUUACAUUUGAACUACAUCUUCAAAUGGACUCUCUUAGUUGUACUAUUGAUGUGAACCUUAAGGACUCCGUUUGCUUUCUCUUAACAAUGUGUUAGAGAAAUUACUCUUAUAGGAUUGUGCAGCUUAGGGAUGACAACGGGUAGUGUACUCACGAAAAUUAUCCUACUCGAACCCGAUUAAUAUUCUCAAAACCCGAAACCAUCCUAAACCCGAUUAAAAUUUACUCUAAACUACCUGAACCCGUCCCAAAUCCGAUUAUUAUUAUCCAAAAAAAACCCAAA
This 394-nucleotide unclassified non-coding RNA is filed under the name Hevea brasiliensis (rubber tree). The record is from RNAcentral. Lineage: Eukaryota; Viridiplantae; Streptophyta; Magnoliopsida; Malpighiales; Euphorbiaceae.